RNAcentral lists this long non-coding RNA (1220 nucleotides) under Marmota monax (woodchuck). The record is from RNAcentral. Lineage: Eukaryota; Metazoa; Chordata; Mammalia; Rodentia; Sciuridae.
CCAGGUCCGUGAGGAAGCCCUCUGGCCACCCACAGGCCCACCCUCUGGCACCUGGGGCUGCAGGCUCGGAGAUCUUCCAGAGUCCCAGUCCUUCUGCUCUAGGUGCUGGGUAAAUCCGUGCUGCUCUGGGCUGCAGGGAGCAGGCCUUGCACCUACUAAGCACCUGCUGUGUGCCCUACUCAGGUUAGGAAAUGAGUGCUUCCUUGAUGCCCUUCCUAGAGGAGAUGCCCAGGCUCCAUGGCCCUGGAGACCCUGGGCUUCUCAGACAGAGGGUCAGAGACCUACUCAGCCUGCUUCUACCUCUCCCCACAAUUAACCGAGACUCACUCCCCAGGGGGCUGUGUUUUCUGAUAGGAGAAGAAAAAGACAUGACCAAGAUUUAAUCUCUCCACUGUAUAAAGAGCACCAGAAAAUCAGUGACAACAGCAAGUCGACAGUAUCAUCAUUCAUGAGUCCUCACAGACUGUUGUCUAAAGACAGGGAAAUCCAUUCAGACCCUUAUGGAAAGACCCUUCAGGGUCACAGUCCAGCAGUUCUGUGCCAGACCCUCUGCUCUGCAGCCCCAGACAAGCUGGCUCCCCUUUCUGGUGAGUUCAGGAAGCCUGCUCCUCAGGGUGCCAGGAGCUUCUUUCUGGGAGUCAGUAGAGCACAGUUAUUUGUUUUAAAACUGCUGUCAAAGGAGAAGGAAAUGAAACUGACAAAAUUAGAGGCUUCAGCCCUGGCCCCUUGCUCCCUUUCUGUGUGACCUGAUGAAGGAGCUUACCCUCUCUGAGCCUGUUUCCCCUUCAGUCACACAUGGAGAAAAACAGUGCCCACAUCCUCCACAUACCUGUCACUGCAGGUGAUACUGGUCCCAGCCCCACAGGCACAGGGCUGCCAGAGGUUUUCCACGUCUCUGCCUCUGAGCUCCCCAUGAGCUGGGGAAGGUGGGAGCAACACAGACCAGGGUACCCUGGUGCUGACUGCACCAUCCUCGGUCUGAGCCCUGGGGACCCUGACACACCAGACAGCCUAGAAGGCCACCAAGGUCAGCACUGAACUAUGUUUAUGCUCUGCAGAUGACCAGGAGCAUGUGUGCAGCGAAGGGCACUAAGAGGUGGCCAGACCAAAGACAGGUGCUGCAGCCUCCGGACACUGCCCCCAGGGCCUCCCACAGCAGCAGCCCCAGGUCCUGCAGGUGGGGGCUUUGUCCUGACCCUUGGGAGCCCCAUGUACAGCUC